UCAGUUCAGAUUGCAGGCUGCAACUCGCCUGCAUGAAGUCGGAAUUGCUAGUAAUCGUAGGUCAGCAUACUACGGUGAAUACGUUCCCGGGCCUUGUACACACCGCCCGUCAAACCAUGAGAGUUGGCAACACCCGAAGUCGGUAGUCUAACCGCAAGGAGGACGCCGCCGAAGGUGGGGUUGAUGAUUAGGGUUAAGUCGUAACAAGGUAUC
This 213-nucleotide ribosomal RNA is filed under the name uncultured bacterium. RNAcentral's name for it is "partial 16S ribosomal RNA". It matches the Rfam family "Bacterial small subunit ribosomal RNA", at positions 1288 to 1500 of the family's 1533-position model. The record is from RNAcentral.